GAUGAACGCUGGCGGCGUGCCUAAUACAUGCAAGUCGAGCGAACAGACGAGGAGCUUGCUCCUCUGACGUUAGCGGCGGACGGGUGAGUAACACGUGGAUAACCUACCUAUAAGACUGGGAUAACUUCGGGAAACCGGAGCUAAUACCGGAUAAUAUAUUGAACCGCAUGGUUCAAUAGUGAAAGACGGUUUUGCUGUCACUUAUAGAUGGAUCCGCGCCGCAUUAGCUAGUUGGUAAGGUAACGGCUUACCAAGGCAACGAUGCGUAGCCGACCUGAGAGGGUGAUCGGCCACACUGGAACUGAGACACGGUCCAGACUCCUACGGGAGGCAGCAGUAGGGAAUCUUCCGCAAUGGGCGAAAGCCGGACGUAGCAACGCCGCGUGAGGAAGGAAGUUCUUCGGAUCGUAAAACUCUGUUAUUAGGGAAGAACAAAUGUGUAAGUAACUAUGCACGUCUGGACGGUACCUAAUCAGAAAGCCACGGCAAACUACG
This 495-nucleotide ribosomal RNA is filed under the name uncultured bacterium. RNAcentral's name for it is "partial 16S ribosomal RNA". It matches the Rfam family "Bacterial small subunit ribosomal RNA", at positions 28 to 505 of the family's 1533-position model. The record is from RNAcentral.